RNAcentral lists this ribosomal RNA (255 nucleotides) under uncultured bacterium. RNAcentral describes it as "partial 16S ribosomal RNA". It matches the Rfam family "Bacterial small subunit ribosomal RNA", at positions 524 to 776 of the family's 1533-position model. The record is from RNAcentral.
GACGUAGGGGGCCAGCGUUGCUCGGAAUUACUGGGCGUAAAGGGUUCGUAGGCGGUGCGGCAAGUCGGGAGUGAAAUCUCGUGGGCUUAACUCAGGGGCUGCUUCCGAAACUGCCGUGCUUGAGUGCGGGAGAGGCGAGUGGAAUUGCAGGUGUAGCGGUGAAAUGCGUAGAUAUCUGCAGGAACACCCGUGGCGAAGGCGGCUCGCUGGGACCGCAACUGACGCUGAGGAACGAAAGCUAGGGGAGCAAACAGG